UACGUAGGGUGCAAGCGUUAUCCGGAAUGAUUGGGCGUAAAGCGUCCGCAGAUGGCGAUGUAAGUCUGCUGUUAAAGAGUGAGGCUCAACCUCAUAAGAGCAGUGGAAACUACAUAGCUAGAGUACGUUCGGGGCAGAGGGAAUUCCUGGUGUAGCGGUGAAAUGCGUAGAGAUCAGGAAGAACACCAGUGGCGAAGGCGCUCUGCUAGGCCGUAACUGACACUGAGGGACGAAAGCUAGGGGAGCGAAUGGG
This 253-nucleotide ribosomal RNA is filed under the name uncultured bacterium. RNAcentral's name for it is "partial 16S ribosomal RNA". It matches the Rfam family "Bacterial small subunit ribosomal RNA", at positions 524 to 776 of the family's 1533-position model. The record is from RNAcentral.